UCUUCUGUUUUUUUAUAAAUUCUGGAAACAAUUUCAUUCUAAAAAGCAUGCCUGUAAUUGUAAGCAAUGUGGCUAAGAUGAUGAGAACAAGGCACCUUAUAGGUUGUUUAUGUUUAACUUGAGUGAAUGAUAUUGGUACAUGAAUGAAUGCAUUGAAUAUACAUGUGAAAUAUGUUCUUUGGAGGUUCAAGUUAAAGAGAAAAGAACAAUAAAGAAGGAACAAAAAGAGCAGUUGUACCACUAUUCAAAUUUUAAUUGUGAAAGUUAAAGGGCACCUAUGGAGUUUUUGCAUUGCUUGGAAGCAGCUUAAAAAGACUUGGAACACUGCAUAUAUAUAUGACUUUUAUCAAUGUAGUUAAGGUCACUUACCCAUCCCACGUCUUUUUCUCACCCUUCCUUUUUGGCCCUUUCCCCUUUCUGGGUGGGGUUGGCCUGAAAUGGAGGACAAACAAGCCAAGGAAGGUACCUGUUCAGGGGACCAUAUAACAAUUGUAAAUACCAUCACUCAGUCAAAAAUUUUAAUUACUCACUGCAAUUGAGUUCAUUUACGAGGCAGAUGACAUUCAAUAACUUCAUUUAUACUGUAGGACUCAGUACUGUAUACACAAUGGAUUAAAAAAAUACAACCAGUAGUACAUUACAUUUAAUGUACUAUUUUUAAA
This is a long non-coding RNA of Vigna angularis (adzuki bean), 662 nucleotides long. RefSeq lists it as uncharacterized. The transcript is spliced from 2 exons. Lineage: Eukaryota; Viridiplantae; Streptophyta; Magnoliopsida; Fabales; Fabaceae. The record is from RefSeq and is a predicted model, not a curated record.